GAUGAACGCUGGCGGCGUGCCUAAUACAUGCAAGUCGAGCGAACAGACGAGGAGCUUGCUCCUCUGACGUUAGCGGCGGACGGGUGAGUAACACGUGGAUAACCUACCUAUAAGACUGGGAUAACUUCGGGAAACCGGAGCUAAUACCGGAUAAUAUAUUGAACCGCAUGGUUCAAUAGUGAAAGACGGUUUUGCUGUCACUUAUAGAUGGAUCCGCGCCGCAUUAGCUAGUUGGUAAGGUAACGGCUUACCAAGGCAACGAUGCGUAGCCGGCCUGAGAGGGUGAUCGGCCACACUGGAACUGAGACACGGUCCAGACUCCUACGGGAGGCAGCAGUAGGGAAUCUUCCGCAAUGGGCGAAAGCCUGACGGAGCAACGCCGCGUGAGUGAUGAAGGUCUUCGGAUCAUAAAACUCUGUUAUUAGGGAAGAACAAAUGUGUAAGUAACUAUGCACGUCUUGACGGUACCUAAUCAGAAAGCCACGGCUAACUACGUG
This 497-nucleotide ribosomal RNA is filed under the name uncultured bacterium. Its description in RNAcentral is "partial 16S ribosomal RNA". It matches the Rfam family "Bacterial small subunit ribosomal RNA", at positions 28 to 507 of the family's 1533-position model. The record is from RNAcentral.